CAGCAAGGCCAUACCACAUCUAAACAUUGCUAGAUUUCUCUCUGGCCAGUUUAGCCGCGCUCGACCAGCAAAAGUCGAACAAUUGAAGGUUUUAUAUUUUCCAUCGUGCUCAGCAGUAAGAACUCGGUGGGGCUGCGAGGGGUCGGACAUAUGUAAGGGCUAAAAGGCACGCCCGUGGUGCAGACUGCUCGCACGUCUGCCGCUGUGCAAUAGCAAAGAAUGUGAGCUCGGUGUGAGAAGGUUGCUAUGGUGCUUCGGUGAGGACUGUUACUGGUUGAGGUUUCCCAAGGGGACGCUACUGAGAAGCUGGCUCACCAAGUCCCGGCCCAGACUGCUGCUGCUCAUCGCGGGGUUGAAAAGGCCUCAGGUGACCCUCAUGCGGAGGAAGAGGAUGAAACGCACGAAAGUAGCAAAGGCCACGUAAGCGAACCUGCAAUCGAAUGCCGCAUUUCACUUGAGGUCUUGGCAAAGAGGAUCUCCCCACCGGAGUUCGAUAUGGAAGACAUGGAAGAACUACGUUUUGAAUCUUUGUCGAAGCAACGAACUAAACGCCAAAGCAAACAGAAAAGAGGUUUACCGUCUUUUGUGAAAACAAGGGAUCUGCAACAGAGAUCUAGACCCCCUGAUUAAAUCGAGAUCUUCUCCUACACGCCCAUUUGUAUAUCUCUUCAAAUCCAAAUUUGUUAUGGUUCAUUAUAGUA
Salvelinus sp. IW2-2015 is the source of this 701-nucleotide long non-coding RNA. RefSeq lists it as uncharacterized. The record is from RefSeq and is a predicted model, not a curated record. NCBI's taxonomy places the organism in Eukaryota, Metazoa, Chordata, Actinopteri, Salmoniformes, Salmonidae.